CCAGGCUGGAGUACAGUGGCAUAUUCACAGCUCACUGCAGCCUCCAAUUCCUGGGCUCAAGGGAUCCUCCUGCCUCAGCCUCUCACGUUGCUAGGAUUGUAGGUACAAGCCACCAUGUGUAGCUCCCCAAACCAUUCUUCUUAUCUCAGAAAGAAAUCCUCUGGAUUUAGCUAUAUUUGACAUUUCAUGUAAAUAUAAGCAGACAAUAUGCGUCCUUUUGGCCUGAGUUUUUUCACUGAGUGUCAUGUUUCAAGGCCGUGCUCCAUUUUUUUUGUGAUUGACUACUAUUCCAGCCUACGAAUAUGCCGCACGGUGGUUCAUCUCUCUCUGCCGAUGGACAUUUGGGCUGUUUCUACGUUUCGAAUGAUGUAAACGAGCUGUGUGUCUUCUUCAAUAAAUGCCCAUUGAAGUCUUUUGCCUAUUUUUUAAUGGGGUUGUUGGUCAUUUUGUUGCUGAGUUGUAUGCAUAGUUUAUGUGUUCUGGAUACUUGAUCCUGAUGAGCUCAGUGAACAUUUAUAAACAAACUGACCAUAGCAGCCCCCACUCCAAUGAAAACGCCACCUGUGACGGCCCCCAGAGGCCCCUCGUCCCUCCUGGUCCCUGCCCCGGGGGCCCCAUCCUGACUUCCAUUGCUGGCAGCGGGUAGGUUCAUGUCGGCUGCUCUUGAAUUCCUCCUGCCUGGGCUGCCCCGCGUGAUCCACUGAGUGUGGCAGAGACGUGUCGUGCUGCUGCCUUCAGCAGCUCCACCUGCUUGCUGAGAAGGUUCCCGGUGCGUUUGGAAGGCAGAGGCUCCUGGGCUUGCAGGUAGGUGAACGCGCUGACAGAGAGGACUCGGCCGGCGCACCCCCUCACCCCCGUCCACCAUCCUGAACACCUAGUCCUCACACAUCCUGGAAGAUUUGCAGCCUCAGUCUCUUCCAAAUGUGUCUUACUCCUCUCUGCUCACCCUGGUGCCAGGCAUCCGCCUUUGCCCAUCCAGACCCAGCACCAGUGCCCUGCCCUCCCCUUGGCUUCUGUGCUGCCCGGCCAUGCCCCUUCCUUCCAGACAGUUCAGGUCAUCCUAAAACGUUCAUCCAAGCCCUUUGCCCACAGGAUAAAGUCCACACUCCUCUUACAGUCCUGUGACCCACAGGCCUCCUUGGAAUUUUGGGGCUGAGUCCUUUCUGCUCUGGGGCUUCACAACCCUUUUGUCCUCUGGCCUCCUCUUCCAGGAAGUCCUCCAAGGGCAAGCCUUGCAGGACUCAGACUAGGCACCCACCCCAAUGCUUGUCGAUGAGAAAGCCUCAGUCAGGAAGGAACUCGGGCAGACCAGGGAUGGUGCCCCUGCUCCAUGACAUCUGGGAGUCUGCUCUAAGACCAGGAGGCUGGGGCCCACCUGGGCUGCCAGCUGCACCUGCCUCCCUGGGCCACCUCCUUUUCAUGGCCUGGGUUUGGAAGCUACCCACUGCCACUUUGUAUUGCGCGGAGCAGUCUGGAGGGGACAGGCCCAGUGGCCACUGCUCCAUGGGGUGAGUCUCAGCUCUGGAGAGCGCAGGGCCGGGAACAUCAUGUCAGGGACACCCUGGAGCUGUGGUAUCCCCGACACGAGCAUAAGGCACAGCAGCACUCAGUCCACAUUUGCCAAAGGAAAGGGGAACAGCCAACACGCAUGACCCCUCACCGCGUGCAGACGACGCGUGACCCCUCACCGCGUGCAGACGACACGUGUGACCCUCACCGCGUGCAGACGACACGUGUGACCCUCACCGCGUGCAGACGACACGUGAGACCCUCACCGCGUGCAGACGACACGUGAGACCCCUCACCAUGUGCAGUCACCUUGCUAGGCAGCUUAUGUGCCUUCUCUCGUUUCAUCCUCAGGUUUGGGAAAAUUAUCCAGAACUUGGAAAGGGGUAAAAACAUCACUGCCUGCUCUUUGGAUCCUGGACCCUCGGCACGGUGGGCCUCAGAGCUGAUCAUUCCCUGGGGUGGGGCCGUCCUGGGCACUGCUGGGUGCUGAGCAGUGUCCCUGGCCUCCGCCCACUCCACACCAGGAGCUCCCCUAGUCGUGACAACCACAGAAGCCCCAGACGUUGCCCCGUGUCCCCGAGGGGCCGAAUCACCCAGAGGAUCAGUUGUAUUCCAGAGCCUCGACCAGCCCGGCCACCCGGGGGUCACUUUGUGGACGCUUCCCUCCACUCUUGCCAGUGUCCUGGCUCUGGGGUUGGACGCUGCUUGGGAUUGACAAAUGCGGAUGAGUUUUGUCCCUGAGCGGCAGGUGCCUCCUUCCUCCUGCUGCGUAUAAAACUCAGUCCAGUCCUGCCGUUCCUUAGUAAACACUCGGACGCACCUUUGACCUACAGUGGCCCGUGGUCUGAAUGAGGUUUAUGCGUGAGUGCUUUGAAAGCUCAAUGUUGCCAUCACCUGAAGCCUAGAGGGCAGUGUGCACUGGGCACCUCACUUACACAGGAGGAAACUGAGGCUCAGAGAGGGGGAGGGGCUGGCAGUGUGGGAGCUGCAGUCCUUGAUCUGAGCUGUCCCCGUGACUUUGGGAGAUGAGGAAGGAGCAUUCUGUGGCUUGGCUGGGGGAGCCCAGGUGGGAGGGGAGGGUGGGGACACAGUGGCUGGUGGGCGGGGGGGUGCCUCUGAGCCGCCUGGGCCACAGGCAAAGGGGUUAGGGAGGUGAGAGGGGAGCUUGGGGGCAAGGGUCAUGUGUCUCCACGGCCGGGCAGGUGCACACUCCCAGGGAGGCCACGAGGACUCUGUGGCCCGGGGAUUGGAGUGAACCACGCUGAAAGGUCAGAGGGCAGUGUCCCAACAACAGUGCCCCCGUUCCAGCCCCAACGGCAGCCCAGGGGUUCCCAGGCCCACCCUCACUCUUGCAGGGGUCCCCAGGCCCACCCUCACUCUUCCAGGGUUCCCAGGCCCACCCUCACUCUUCCAGGGUUCCCAGGCCCACUCUCACUCUUCCAGGGUUCCCAGGCCCACCCUCACUCUUGCAGGGGUUCCCAGGCCCACCCUCACUCUUCCAGGGG
Molecule: long non-coding RNA, 3014 nt
Filed under: Homo sapiens (human)
Lineage: Eukaryota; Metazoa; Chordata; Mammalia; Primates; Hominidae
Description: HSALNT0395500
Source: RNAcentral